AAUAGUUUUAUGCCAAAUUAGUACUCUUAUCCUGAAUUUCAAGAUUUUAUCCUGAAAAAAAUAAAAUCUAAAUUAAAAUCCUAAAAUUCAGGAUAAGAAUACUGAUGUGGCAUAAAACUAUU
Molecule: microRNA precursor, 122 nt
Organism: Gossypium arboreum
Lineage: Eukaryota; Viridiplantae; Streptophyta; Magnoliopsida; Malvales; Malvaceae
Rfam family: MIR7504 microRNA precursor family
Source: Rfam